Molecule: ribosomal RNA, 297 nt
Filed under: uncultured Enterobacteriaceae bacterium
Lineage: Bacteria; Pseudomonadati; Pseudomonadota; Gammaproteobacteria; Enterobacterales; Enterobacteriaceae
Description: partial 16S ribosomal RNA
Rfam family: Bacterial small subunit ribosomal RNA
Source: RNAcentral
GAGUUUGAUCAUGGCUCAGAUUGAACGCUGGCGGCAAGCUUAACACAUGCAAGUCGAACGGCAAGUAGCUUGCUACUUACGAGUGGCGUACGGGUGAGUAACGUAUGGGAAUUUACCGAAUGGACGGGGACAACAGUUGGAAACGGCUGCUAAUACCGCAUAACGUCGAAAGACCAAAGGGUUUUGACUUGCCAUUUGAUGAGCCCAUAUGAGAUUAGCUAGUUGGUGUGGUAAUGGUUCACCAAGGCCACGAUCUCUAGCUGGUUAGAGAGGAUGACCAGCCACACUGGGACUGAG